This 481-nucleotide ribosomal RNA is filed under the name uncultured bacterium. RNAcentral describes it as "bacterial SSU rRNA". It matches the Rfam family "Bacterial small subunit ribosomal RNA", at positions 8 to 484 of the family's 1533-position model. The record is from RNAcentral.
AGAGUUUGAUCCUGGCUCAGAUUGAACGCUGGCGGCAUGCCUUACACAUGCAAGUCGAACGGCAGCGCGGGAGCAAUCCUGGCGGCGAGUGGCGAACGGGUGAGUAAUAUAUCGGAACGUGCCUUAGAGUGGGGGAUAACUAGUCGAAAGACUAGCUAAUACCGCAUACGACCUACGGGUGAAAGUGGGGGAUCGCAAGACCUCAUGCUCUUAGAGCGGCCGAUAUCUGAUUAGCUAGUUGGUGGGGUAAAAGCCUACCAGGGCGACGAUCAGUAGCUGGUCUGAGAGGACGACCAGCCACACUGGGACUGAGACACGGCCCAGACUCCUACGGGAGGCAGCAGUGGGGAAUUUUGGACAAUGGGGGCAACCCUGAUCCAGCAAUGCCGCGUGUGUGAAGAAGGCCUUCGGGUUGUAAAGCACUUUUGUUCGGAAAGAAAUCGCUCUGGCUAAUAUCCGGAGUGGAUGACGGUACCGAAGA